CUAGAUAUGGAGACAUGGUCCCCAACACCAUCGCUGGCAAGAUCUUUGGUUCUAUCUGUUCCCUGAGCGGUGUGCUGGUGAUCGCUCUCCCAGUUCCUGUCAUUGUCUCCAAC
Regulatory RNA element from Scleropages formosus (Asian bonytongue), 113 nucleotides. It matches the Rfam family "Potassium channel RNA editing signal". Rfam says of the family: This family represents a group of sequences related to the human potassium channel Kv1.1 hairpin element which directs the efficient modification of an adenosine to inosine by an adenosine deaminase acting on RNA (ADAR). The ADAR modification causes an isoleucine/valine recoding event which lies in the ion-conducting pore of the potassium channel. NCBI's taxonomy places the organism in Eukaryota, Metazoa, Chordata, Actinopteri, Osteoglossiformes, Osteoglossidae. The record is from Rfam.